UCAUGUACUGUAUUGUAAUGUUUGUCAGCUCAUGGAAUAUGCUGUUUAACUCACUUAGCAUGCUUUGUGGGAAACCCUGGUUGGAGCAUUUAAAACAUACCAGCUAUAUAGUUUUGCCAACAUCAAUGUCCUUAUGCUGUGCCUCAAGUAUAAGCUUGUCGUGGUAUUUUCAAAACUUUGACGAAAGACUACAGUCAUAACAGUAUGGCCUUUGGCUUCCAUGUGAUUUUUUAUUAAUAUGUGUUCAAAUGAGCCAAAAAGCAUUAGCAUGUGUGAUUAAUAGCAAUACAUUUAGUUGUACAUGUACAUCUGUUUACAUUCAGAAUUCGUCUCAUUGAGACAGCAAGCAGAGACACUAGCAGUUGAAAAGAAUAAUGUAGAACAGAAAGCUGAAGGUUAUCUUGUUGACUAUGAGCAAGAGAACUAAGAAAACUUUGAACUUAAAUUUACCGUGUUCUUUGAAUGAAGUGAAGGAUCAGUUACAGCAGCAAGUCAAUUAUUGCUCUUCAUUGGGUUGUGUUUGUGGUACAAUGCUAUGGAGUACAUCUCAGAAUGAAGACUGUAUACAGAAUUUACUCUCUGGAGUAAGAAUACUGAUAUUGUGUGACCCUUAUGCAGCUUUUUAUUAUCUCUUGAUUUUCUACAAUUGGUGUCAGCCACACUGCACAGCUAUCUAUCAACUUAUAAUAGUGACUUACCUAGUGAGUCCAGUCAAGAAUCUCAGUUUGUCAUCUUCCUUUGUGGUACUGUUACCAAUAUUGCAGCAUCUGCUUAUGGAAGAGAAUAUUUGUCAUCUUGUCAUAAAGGACAGGAACUGUUGAAAAACAUGUGCUCAGUACUGGCUACAGCUCCACUCUCUCAAGGAUGUGCUAAAAUUAAGAGUCUCAUUCUUAUGCUCCUCUAUAACAUCAGUAUUAAUCAAAAAGGACUAACAUUAUUAAGAUCUGAACCUGAUCUACUGAGAAUAUUAAUGUGGCUAGCUAAA
This is a long non-coding RNA of Amphimedon queenslandica, 985 nucleotides long. RefSeq lists it as uncharacterized. NCBI's taxonomy places the organism in Eukaryota, Metazoa, Porifera, Demospongiae, Haplosclerida, Niphatidae. The record is from RefSeq and is a predicted model, not a curated record. The transcript is spliced from 6 exons.